Molecule: unclassified non-coding RNA, 103 nt
Organism: Colobus angolensis palliatus
Lineage: Eukaryota; Metazoa; Chordata; Mammalia; Primates; Cercopithecidae
Gene: Vault
Rfam family: Vault RNA
About the family: This family of RNAs are found as part of the enigmatic vault ribonucleoprotein complex.
Source: Ensembl
GGGCUGGCUUUAGCUCAGUGGUUACUUCGACAGUGCUUUCCAUGGUUAGGUAAACCAACCUCUCUGGGUGGUUCGAGACCCGUGGGCCCUCUCCAGUCGUUUU